CCUUACCCACCUUUGACAUGGCAGGAACUUACCGAGAGAUGGUUUGGUGCUCGAAAGAGAACCUGCACACAGGUGCUGCAUGGCUGUCGUCAGCUCGUGUCGUGAGAUGUUGGGUUAAGUCCCGCAACGAGCGCAACCCUUGCCAUUAGUUGCUACGAAAGGGCACUCUAAUGGGACUGCCGGUGACAAACCGGAGGAAGGUGGGGAUGACGUCAAGUCCUCAUGGCCCUUAUAGGUGGGGCUACACACGUCAUACAAUGGCUGGUACAAAGGGUCGCCAACCCGCGAGGGGGAGCCAAUCCCAUAAAGCCAGUCGUAGUCCGGAUCGCAGUCUGCAACUCGACUGCGUGAAGUCGGAAUCGCUAGUAAUCGUGGAUCAGAAUGUCACGGUGAAUACGUUCCCGGGUCUUGUACACACCGCCCGUCACACCAUGGGAGCGGGUCUCGCCAGAAGUAGGUAGCCUAACCGCAAGGAGGGCGCUUACCACGGCGGGGUUCGUGACUGGGGUGAAGUCGUAACAAGGUAAGCGUAGUGCU
RNAcentral lists this ribosomal RNA (537 nucleotides) under uncultured bacterium. RNAcentral's name for it is "bacterial SSU rRNA". It matches the Rfam family "Bacterial small subunit ribosomal RNA", at positions 969 to 1509 of the family's 1533-position model. The record is from RNAcentral.